This 979-nucleotide long non-coding RNA is filed under the name Androctonus crassicauda. The record is from RNAcentral. Lineage: Eukaryota; Metazoa; Arthropoda; Arachnida; Scorpiones; Buthidae.
AUGACAUCAUCAUUGUAAAUAUGAAUUGGUAGUAAGUCAAGGGCUAUCUGUAGUUUUAUAAUCUAAAUAGUAUUUUGAUUAUUAUUUAUUAUACAAAUUGUAAAAACUGCACAGCAGGUAUAUGGCUAAAUAAUGUUUAACCAUCAAGAUUUUGAAAUAAGGCACAUAGAUAAGUGGCACAGGGAUUCAGGAAUGGAGAAAUGGCUCAAAGACUUAAGUAGACAAGCAAAAAUAAUUAUUUGCAAUAAAAGUAAAACAAAUAUUAGUUAGUUUUUUGAUUAAGAAAAAAAAUUAACUAAUAUGACAUGAAAAUUGAAUAUUACAGUAUGAAAAUAAAAUUAUACAAUAAUAUCUUAACAAGAGUUAGGUUAUAUUACUAAUCAGAAUCUAGACUGAUUUAGAAGUGGCAAGAAUUAUCCUUAAGUCCUAAACUAAGCCAAGAAAGAUAGGAAGAACUGAAGAGUUUCCCUCAAUAACACAUAUAGUUCAGGAAGUAAAAUCUGAAGAAGUUACAGAAAUACAAAUUAAUCUUAUAGGUCUAGUUCUUCUUAGUAUCAUAUUCCAGUUCUCUUAUUUUUUUAUAGCAAAUCUGGAGGUUAAACAAUUUACCAUUCAGUUUCUGGUUCCAUCUAUCAGCAAACAUUAGGGAUAUGGGUGGAAGAGAUCCUGUUCCUAUCAUCUUGAUGGACAAACUCAAAUUUCUUUUUUCUUUCUUUUACUUCAUUUCUAUGUUUUUUAUUAUCUCUCAUUUUCUCUUGGUUGAAAGACCAAUCAAAAAUCCAAUGACCACAAAGAUUGUCAAAUGGGAAACUUUUCAAACAAAAACUAAAGGUUUUUAUAUGACACAAAAUGGAUAAGUGUUGAUAGCAUUCCCACAGCAGGAUAAGGAAACAAAUUUUAAAAAAGGAAUUUCUUGUCUGUAGGUAUUUAUUGGAUUUUUGUUGUUUUUGAUAUUCUACUUUCUCUUUUUAAAUAUAUG